UACGGAGGGAGCAAGCGUUAUCCGGAAUCACUGGGUUUAAAGGGUGCGUAGGUGGCAUCGUAAGUCAGAAGUGAAAGUUUGCGGCUUAAACGUAAAAUUGCUUUUGAUACUGCAAUGCUUGAAUCAGGUUGAGGUUGGCGGAAUGUGGCAUGUAGAGGAGAAAUGCUUAGAUAUGCCAUAGAACACCGAUUGCGAAGGCAGCUGACUGGACCUGUAUUGACGCUGAGGCACGAAAGCGUGGGGAGCGAACAGG
This 253-nucleotide ribosomal RNA is filed under the name uncultured bacterium. RNAcentral's name for it is "partial 16S ribosomal RNA". It matches the Rfam family "Bacterial small subunit ribosomal RNA", at positions 524 to 776 of the family's 1533-position model. The record is from RNAcentral.